AUGCUUUCAUGAAAUGCGUCACAGCACAAACAUUUCACAUCACGGAUUGGACAUGACCUCAAAACUCCCUCUGUCGAUGCCCGGCCCCAAAGGAGCUCACACAGGACUUUCAUAGUGCCCGGUCCACAGAAAGCUCACACAGGACUUUCAACACAUAGUAUGGUGCCCGACCCUAAAAGGGCUCACACAGGACUUAUCCAUCAAAUGC
Molecule: long non-coding RNA, 208 nt
Filed under: Manihot esculenta (cassava)
Lineage: Eukaryota; Viridiplantae; Streptophyta; Magnoliopsida; Malpighiales; Euphorbiaceae
Description: long non-coding RNA (MESC_LNC005386)
Source: RNAcentral